UCAAAAUGGCAAAUUGAAUGAACUUGAAUUCCUCGAAUGAUCUCUCUAAUACCCUACGGUUUGUUGGUAGCCUCAAGGCCAAGGGAAAGCAUACUUGUAUCCCGGACAACAAAAUCAGAGCUACAACAAUCUCUGCAUGAUGUAAUAACACCUUUAGUCUCGACUCUGACACAGUGAUUUAAAAAGAUAGGUGCUCCUAUCGAGCAACUCUUGAUCAAUGGAACAUUGCUUCAUUGGACAACAUUACACCUAAAUCAUAUCCAGAGAACAUAGUUCUUUAAUGCAGGCUAAAAACUACCUGCA
Molecule: long non-coding RNA, 303 nt
Filed under: Fragaria vesca (wild strawberry)
Lineage: Eukaryota; Viridiplantae; Streptophyta; Magnoliopsida; Rosales; Rosaceae
Description: long non-coding RNA (FVES_LNC000666)
Source: RNAcentral